AUUAAUUGGAUUGAGCCUUGGUAUGGAACCUACCAAGAGAUAACUUUCAAAUUCAGAGAAACCCUGGAAUUAAAAAUGGGCAAUCCUGAGCCAAAUCCGGUCCAAUUUUCUGAAAACAAAGAAGGGUUCAGAAGGCCAUAAUAAAAAAAGGAUAGGUGCAGAGACUCAAUGGAAGCUGUUCUAACAAACGGAGUUGGCUGAAGUGCGAAAGGAAUCACUCCAAAAAAAAGGAUGAAGAAUAUAUAUACGUAUAAUACUAUCUUCAAUUGAUUAAUCGGACGAGAAUAAAGAUAGAGUCCCAGUCUACAUGUCAAUAUCGACAACAAUGAAAUUUAUAGUAAGAGGAAAAUCCGUCGACUUUAAAAAUCGUGAGGGUUCAAGUCCCUCUAUCCCCA
RNAcentral lists this non-coding RNA (395 nucleotides) under Dorstenia psilurus. RNAcentral describes it as "partial transfer RNA-Leu(UAA)". The stretch from base 1 to 320 matches the Rfam family "Group I catalytic intron". From Rfam's summary of the family: Group I catalytic introns are large self-splicing ribozymes. They catalyse their own excision from mRNA, tRNA and rRNA precursors in a wide range of organisms. The record is from RNAcentral. Lineage: Eukaryota; Viridiplantae; Streptophyta; Magnoliopsida; Rosales; Moraceae.